This 332-nucleotide ribosomal RNA is filed under the name uncultured bacterium. RNAcentral describes it as "partial 16S ribosomal RNA". It matches the Rfam family "Bacterial small subunit ribosomal RNA", at positions 338 to 668 of the family's 1533-position model. The record is from RNAcentral.
CCUACGGGAGGCAGCAGUGAGGAAUAUUGGUCAAUGGCCGGAAGGCUGAACCAGCCAAGCCGCGUGAAGGACGAAGGUGCCAAGCAUUGUAAACUUCUUUUGUCAAAGGACAAAAUCAGGCUCGAGAGCCUGACCGAGGGUACUUUACGAAAAAGCAUCGGCUAACUCCGUGCCAGCAGCCGCGGUAAUACGGAGGAUGCGAGCGUUAUCCGGAUUUAUUGGGUUUAACGGGUGCGUAGGCGGGCUGUUAAGUCAGCGGUAAAAUCCCGAGGCUAAACCCGGGCGAGCCGUUUAAACUGGUGGUCUUGAGAGGUCGAGAGGUAUGCGGAAUG